GAUUGUGUACUUUAUUAAAAGACUUAGUUUGCACCUAAGACUAGGGAUCAUACCCCACAACCAC
Molecule: transfer RNA, 64 nt
Filed under: Pyganodon grandis (giant floater mussel)
Lineage: Eukaryota; Metazoa; Mollusca; Bivalvia; Unionida; Unionidae
Description: tRNA-Ala
Source: RNAcentral